UACGUAGGGUGCGAGCGUUAAUCGGAAUUACUGGGCGUAAAGCGUGCGCAGGCGGUUCGCUGUGUCCGAUGUGAAAGCCCCGGGCUUAACCUGGGAAUGGCAUUGGAAACUGGCGGGCUUGAGUGCGGCAGAGGGGGGUGGAAUUCCGCGUGUAGCAGUGAAAUGCGUAGAGAUGCGGAGGAACACCGAUGGCGAAGGCAGCCCCCUGGGUUAACACUGACGCUCAUGCACGAAAGCGUGGGGAGCAAACAGG
RNAcentral lists this ribosomal RNA (253 nucleotides) under uncultured bacterium. RNAcentral's name for it is "partial 16S ribosomal RNA". It matches the Rfam family "Bacterial small subunit ribosomal RNA", at positions 524 to 776 of the family's 1533-position model. The record is from RNAcentral.